CUGAGUGAGGGCCUUCGGGCUCGACCUCCAACCCUUUGUGAACACAACUUGUUGCUUCGGCGGGGGCGACCCUGCCGUUUCGACGGCGAGCUGCCCCCGGUAGGCCUUCAAACACUGCAAUCCUUUGCGUACGGAGUUUAAGUAAAUUAAAACA
RNAcentral lists this unclassified non-coding RNA (154 nucleotides) under soil metagenome. RNAcentral describes it as "partial internal transcribed spacer 1". The record is from RNAcentral.